UUUGACCUCUGGAGGUCUAAUACAUAAUUAAAUAGAUUGUAUUGUACUCUCUUUAUCUGCACAUAUAUAGCAUAAACCCUAAUAAAUGUGUUAAAAAACCGCAAAUUGCGACUAGCAUAAAUUUUCACUACUUGGUCUCUCCAUUUCCCCAUAAACCAGUUUAAAAAAAUAGUCUUCGUAGGUAUACAUACAUACUGUAUUAGUUCUUCUCGUGUUAAGUAAGUUAAAUAUAUAAAAGCUGUAAUUAGCUGUUUUUACAACAAAUAUUAAUUUUAAAACAUUUUUGCGUAAUUUAUUCAGUUGAAACAACUAACACAAAAGUAUUGAAAUAGCCUAUUACGUGAUAAGCAACGUGUACUUUCCAUUGUUUGCUAGUCAACCGUGACAGGAAGAAUAUAAUUAUGAGAUAUUUUUAGGCAGCUGUCUGACUAGAAUAAGCGAUAAACAAGUAGCGUUAGAUUAUUUUUUUUCGCGGAUGAUUAAUUUCUCUUUUAAAAUAAGGGGUGUACCGAAAUAAAACUGUAGACUUCAAAUGAAAAUAACUGAUGCGAUUGAGAACAAACUAAGGUUUUUAGAAUAACUACUAUAAAAAGUGACUUUUAAAUUAGAUAAUUGACAGUUUAUUAAAUAUAUUUUAUUCUGUACGAGUGAUAGGCAGCUUUUUACGGACCCGUUUUUCAUAUUUGCUUGCAUCAGCAGCAUCACCUGCUGGAAUUGUUCAUGUUUUUUGGACGGCACUCCAGGACGUUUGGCGAUCUUGCUGUGCUCUUCGAUAAUUACCAAAUGCGAUUUUUGUACGAAGGAAAUUAAAUAAGGGGCCUAGAAUUAAAUAACGCAAAUUUUCGAUUACUUUAGCUAACCUAACCUUUGUACGAAGAACUGAACUGACUUUCGUCGUAGUUCAUUCCACUUUAACCGAAUAUAUGUUACCCUAGUUUUUAUGAUAAAUAUGACAGGCAUGCUUCGUUUUCGCAAAUUAUUAGUAAUCUUUCUGACGCGCCUAGAGUCACUUGUUCCUAGAGGUCUGCCGUUUCAAGGCCUCUGUUCAAAAGACAACAUAUACUAACCGCUCGAUUCGAAGAAUGAUUAAUACACGUUUAAGAUCUUUAAAAGAUCGAUUACUAUAUGAUAUGUCAAAAUUGACGUUUAUUUCGAUUCGACUGAGAACCCAAUAAGAUAUAUAUCUACGAUAUUUCUACCGUCAAAGUGACAUUGGUUGCCCGAAUCGAGCUGCUACGACAUCUUAUACGACAUACAAACGAUAUCUAAGUGAGAACUUAUCUAAACCAGAACUUAUCGUUAUCGUAUUUCAUUCUUCGAAUAGGGCCGUAAAUUAGAUAUUUAUUAUGAAAUGCACGAAACUUCUAAGUAAUUUUAAGUGUUUCGAAAUGAACCAUAUAGGAUGUUACAAAUUUUCUUGCUAUUUGGAAAAUAACAAUUUUUAAUGAUUUCUUCUAUUUACCGGUGUAACGUUGGUUAGUGUAAAAUCAGAAUUAUUUAUAUUGGAAUAUAUAAUAAUAUAUAAUAAUUAAAAUUAUUAUCGCGGUAAGAAAGUCGUAGUCAUCGUGGCUAGAAGCAAAAUAACAGCCGUUUGAAAUUUACAGUUUUUUAUCGGUACAGGCCUCAUUUUCGUAGAUAGUGUGAACACUCAGCGAUCAACGAUGGAAUAUUGCAAUUCUUUUGUUUACUUGGUUUUUAGGGUUCCGUACCAAAAAGGUACAAAAGGAACCCUUAUGGUGCGACUCUGUCCGUCCGUCUGUCUGUCACAUUGCUAAAUAUCUUGAGAACUACUUGAGCUAUCGUUUUGGAAUUUGAAAUAUUUAUGAACAAAACAACACUAACCCAGGAACCUAGGUAGGUACCUGCAUUUCUUACGUGAGAUUGAGUCAAUCGAUAGUCGGUAUUUUGACGCAAGUCGAACAGCUGCCUAAUAAUUUAUUAGUUUUUAAUACUUUCUGUUUAUACCUAUAUUUUGUCUAGUGUAAAACAUUUCCGCACCAAAACCCCCGAUGCAUGCUAAAAAAAUACAUUAUGUAAAUGCAAGAAUGUAUGAAAAAACCGCAAAACAGAUUGGCACGACCUAGAUAAACACACCAUCUUGCCAACAUUCAAGUGCCUAGAAGUGUUACUAAACACACGUACCUAUAUACUUUUCAGAAACAAAAGUUUUCUAGCUUACCUACGGUGUGUGUGUGUGUAUGGAGUGCGGGAUAAUAUUACCUUCCAGGAGCGGCGUUUUUAAAACCACAAAACCAUAUUUAACACAUCAAUUUACAUUAGUCGUUAGAAAUUAAAUAAAUUAAACCGUUCUCAUAUAUGCCUUAACCUUUAAUAUAAAAAAUACAUCACAGACGUAAAAAAAUUAACAGAUAAGAUAAAAGUCCUCUCAAAUAUUUUGCAUAACGCAGCAUAAACUUUUGUGUAAAAUAAAUAAUACUAUUUAAAAUAUCCUUAUUGUUGCAGUCAAAUGUAAUUAUCAUCUAUUAGCUUUCAGCUAAAGUCACAAUUUGUUUUCCACUGGUCUGCAUAGUUGUAUAUAAGUGGAAGAACAGAUACAAUAGCAGUCCAACACAUACGAUGAAGAACACUAUACAUAUGCACACUACGCACUCCGAGAGGUACACCUUGACACGUUCAGAUCUGCUCAUCCGAUAGGUCGGUAAGUCCACGCUGGAAUACGUCCACAUCUUCACAGGAAACUACUUCGUUGAGUUACUUCACAUCUAUGUACUUAGUUGCCGAACGCAAUUAUGAUAUGAUUACGAUUUUCUUGUAAAUUUUGUCAGCGCGCAUCUGUCAUCAGUAUCUUAUCAGCUUCUUAAUUUAAGUCUUGUCGUAUCGUAUGUUUGCUUUCCGCAACCACAUUGUUUUAGACGCAUUUUUACAAACACUUCUUUUAUGAUGAUUUUAUGACUUGUUCUAGAUGUAGAUAAUUCUGCAAAUUGUCAAUUUAGCCCUUAUUUAGAUAGUUCAAAAUAUUUAAGUCAUGUAUUUUUUAAACACGCGAAUCGCCGCGCCGCUGCGCCCGCGGCUGACCGUGGCGGUAGUUUAUUGACGUUUGCUCUAUUACAUUACAUUCGCGUGCUGUACCCGUAUUGUUAAGUACAAUAACUUACUCGGCAAUGUGUGCGUUACUUCACUGAUAACGUGAGUUUUACCGUUUUGUUGACACAACCAUUUACUGCAGUCAAUUUGCCAUAAAAUUACUUUUAGAUUAGAUUUGAAUUAAUUGUAUUCUUUCAAUUGACACGUUAUCUCAGUGUUGUCUUUGAUCGUAACGAGUGCUAAUUAAAAAAAAGGUUAGAUUUGACAAAGCUGCGCGUCAUCCUAGAUGUCAAGAACCUGGUGGCGUAGCCAACGUGCAAAUCGCUUACGCUCCGUAGCGAUCGAAACGCAACUAUGAUUGUCACACUAAUACGGAAGGGUGAUAGAGACACAAAGCUUUUCGUUGUCGAAGCGAUGACAGCGAAACGCAGCCUGGCUAGGCUGGCAGACCAGAUAAAUGUAACUUCCUGUAAAACGACAUUAACUAUCUUAAACAAAAUAAACUAACUUCACAAUACAUAACAGUUUAGAAUG
Cydia pomonella (codling moth) is the source of this 3579-nucleotide long non-coding RNA. RefSeq lists it as uncharacterized. Lineage: Eukaryota; Metazoa; Arthropoda; Insecta; Lepidoptera; Tortricidae. The record is from RefSeq and is a predicted model, not a curated record. The transcript is spliced from 2 exons.